GAGCAGUGGGUUGGGUGAGAAUAGCUGUCUCUUUGCUGUGUCUUGUGACAAUUCACUAAAUAACACUAAACUAUGUCUCUCUCUCUCUCUGAAGACAGGAGAAAACCCCCGCGGAACCAGCCAGCACAUGUUUCGUGGCAAGAUCAGGGCCUCAGACACCACAAACUCUUCCUUUUUGGGCUCAAGAUCCUGAGAAGCUGCGGAAAAUUUGGGCAGAAGCAGAUCCUCUCAGCGUUGCACGGGACAGCAGACGUGACCUGCUCGGGGAUGUGGAGACACCUGGCACGGGGUCCUCAGUCUGGUCGGAUGGGAUGGAACAGAAAUUGCUCUAAACGAAGAUCAGAUUUACACUGCAGCACCUAAUUAGAAGCAGUGACUUUGUUUCCCAGUUCCCUUUGGCAGGACUCGCUACAGUAAUACCGGGCAGCUUGGAUUUAUAAUCAGGUAGGGAGGCUCAGACACCUUGCGAUGCAUACGUAUAAAUAUCUAUAUUUUAGGCAUGUGUUUUACACUCUCUCCCCCUGGUAGAAAGCUCUAUCUGGCCCACAAGCAGCUGCCUUUUAAACCCAGGACUAAAUCUUUAGGGCAGACCUUCAGCCAGUGAAACUCCAUUCAGAGCAGUCGUCCUGCUUCAUGGAAUUAACUGCUGCAGUGUCAGUCUCCUCUUCAUCUGGGGCAAAUCCCAACAGAAAAAGACUCUGAGAGCGUUAAGUGAGUGGGAUUUGUGCUUUACGUCACCUAAGGGUAUGUGAAAUCUGGCCUUUCCUCUCC
This 771-nucleotide long non-coding RNA is filed under the name Calidris pugnax (ruff). RNAcentral's name for it is "lncRNA (ENSCPUG00000008299.1)". Lineage: Eukaryota; Metazoa; Chordata; Aves; Charadriiformes; Scolopacidae. The record is from RNAcentral.